AGUAGUAGUAAUAGUAGUUGUAGUGUUCGUAGUACCAGGUCAGUACCUGGUCAGUACCUGGAUGGGAAACUGCCUGGGAACACGGGUGUUGUUGGCU
This 97-nucleotide ribosomal RNA is filed under the name Eptatretus burgeri (inshore hagfish). Lineage: Eukaryota; Metazoa; Chordata; Myxini; Myxiniformes; Myxinidae. The record is from RNAcentral.